GCAGGCCUAACACAUGCAAGUCGAGCGGUAACAGAUCCAGCUUGCUGGAUGCUGACGAGCGGCGGACGGGUGAGUAAUGCAUAGGAAUCUGCCCGAUAGUGGGGGAUAACCUGGGGAAACCCAGGCUAAUACCGCAUACGUCCUACGGGAGAAAGGGGGCUUCGGCUCCCGCUAUCGGAUGAGCCUAUGUCGGAUUAGCUGGUUGGUGAGGUAAAGGCUCACCAAGGCGACGAUCCGUAGCUGGUCUGAGAGGAUGAUCAGCCACAUCGGGACUGAGACACGGCCCGAACUCCUACGGGAGGCAGCAGUGGGGAAUAUUGGACAAUGGGGGCAACCCUGAUCCAGCCAUGCCGCGUGUGUGAAGAAGGCCCUCGGGUUGUAAAGCACUUUCAGUGAGGAAGAACGCCUGGUGGUUAAUACCCAUCAGGAAAGACAUCACUCACAGAAGAAGCACCGGCUAACUCCGUGCCAGCAGCCGCGGUAAUACGGAGGGUGCGAGCGUUAAUCGGAAUUACUGGGCGUAAAGCGCGCGUAGGUGGCUUGAUAAGCCGGUUGUGAAAGCCCCGGGCUCAACCUGGGAACGGCAUCCGGAACUGUCAAGCUAGAGUGCAGGAGAGGAAGGUAGAAUUCCCGGUGUAGCGGUGAAAUGCGUAGAGAUCGGGAGGAAUACCAGUGGCGAAGGCGGCCUUCUGGACUGACACUGACACUGAGGUGCGAAAGCGUGGGUAGCAAACAGGAUUAGAUACCCUGGUAGUCCACGCCGUAAACGAUGUCGACCAGCCGUUGGGUGCCUAGCGCACUUUGUGGCGAAGUUAACGCGAUAAGUCGACCU
This is a ribosomal RNA of 832 nucleotides. It matches the Rfam family "Bacterial small subunit ribosomal RNA", at positions 42 to 871 of the family's 1533-position model.